CUCGACCUCAAAUCAGGUAGGAAUACCCGCUGAACUUAAGCAUAUCAAUAAGCGGAGGAAAGGAAACCAACAGGGAUUGCCUCAGUAGCGGCGAGUGAAGCGGCAAGAGCUCAGAUUUGAAACCGUGCUUUGCGGCACGAGUUGUAGAUUGCAGGUUGGAGUCUGUGUGGAAGGCGGUGUCCAAGUCUCUUGGAACAGGGCGCCCAGGAGGGUGAGAGCCCCGUGGGAUGCCGGCGGAAGCAGUGAGGCCCUUCUGACGAGUC
Molecule: ribosomal RNA, 263 nt
Filed under: uncultured eukaryote
Lineage: Eukaryota
Description: partial 28S ribosomal RNA
Rfam family: Eukaryotic large subunit ribosomal RNA
Source: RNAcentral